RNAcentral lists this small nuclear RNA (117 nucleotides) under Schizopora paradoxa. RNAcentral describes it as "Hyphodontia paradoxa U5 spliceosomal RNA". It matches the Rfam family "U5 spliceosomal RNA". From Rfam's summary of the family: U5 RNA is a component of both types of known spliceosome. The precise function of this molecule is unknown, though it is known that the 5' loop is required for splice site selection and p220 binding, and that both the 3' stem-loop and the Sm site are important for Sm protein binding and cap methylation. The record is from Rfam by way of RNAcentral. Lineage: Eukaryota; Fungi; Basidiomycota; Agaricomycetes; Hymenochaetales; Schizoporaceae.
UGUGAUUGAGAGUGGUACAAAAUAGCAAUGCCCUCGCCUUUUACUAGGGCAUUCCGUGUACCACUCUCGCAAUACGAUCACUCACUAAUCUUUGGAAACACUUUCUUCGUGAAAGAC